AGAGUUUGAUCCUGGCUCAGGAUGAACGCUAGCGGCAGGCUUAAUACAUGCAAGUCGUGGGGCAGCAGGUUUGUAGCAAUACAGAUGCUGGCGACCGGCAAACGGGUGCGGAACACGUACAGAACCUUCCUUUGAGCGGGGAAUAGCCCAGAGAAAUUUGGAUUAAUACCCCAUAGUAUAAUGAAGUGGCAUCACUUUAUUAUUAAAGAUUUAUCACUCGAAGAUGGCUGUGCGGCUGAUUAGGUAGUUGGCGGGGUAAAGGCCCACCAAGCCUGCGAUCAGUAACUGGUGUGAGAGCACGACCAGUCACACGGGCACUGAGACACGGGCCCGACUCCUACGGGAGGCAGCAGUAAGGAAUAUUGGUCAAUGGAGGCAACUCUGAACCAGCCAUGCCGCGUGGAGGAUGAAGGUCCUCUGGAUUGUAAACUUCUUUUAUAUGGGACGAAAAAAGGCUUUUCUAAGUCGUCUGACGGUACCAUAUGAAUAAGCACCGGCUAACUCCGUGCCAGCAGCCGCGGUAAUACGGAGGGUGCAAGCGUUAUCCGGAUUCACUGGGUUUAAAGGGUGCGUAGGUGGGUUGGUAAGUCAGUGGUGAAAUCCCCGAGCUUAACUUGGGAACUGCCAUUGAUACUAUCAGUCUUGAAUACCGUGGAGGUCAGCGGAAUAUGUCAUGUAGCGGUGAAAUGCUUAGAUAUGACAUAGAACACCAAUUGCGAAGGCAGCUGGCUACCCGAAUAUUGACACUGAGGCACGAAAGCGUGGGGAUCAAACAGGAUUAGAUACCCUGGUAGUCCACGCCCUAAACGAUGUCGACUAGUCGUUCGGAGCAGCAAUGCACUGAGUGACGCAGCUAACGCGUGAAGUCGACCGCCUGGGGAGUACGGCCGCAAGGUUAAAACUCAAAGGAAUUGACGGGGACCCGCACAAGCGGUGGAUGAUGUGGAUUAAUUCGAUGCAACGCGAAAAACCUUACCUACCCUUGACAUGUCUGGAACCUUGCUGAGAGGCGAGGGUGCCUUCGGGAGCCAGAACACAGGUGCUGCAUGGCUGUCGUCAGCUCGUGUCGUGAGAUGUUGGGUUAAGUCCCGCAACGAGCGCAACCCUUGUCACUAGUUGCCAUCAUUUGGUUGGGCACUCUAGUGAGACUGCCGGUGACAAACCGGAGGAAGGUGGGGAUGACGUCAAGUCCUCAUGGCCCUUAUGGGUAGGGCUUCACACGUCAUACAAUGGUCGGUACAGAGGGUUGCCAAGCCGCGAGGUGGAGCCAAUCCCUUAAAGCCGAUCGUAGUCCGGAUCGUAGUCUGCAACC
Molecule: ribosomal RNA, 1312 nt
Filed under: uncultured bacterium
Lineage: Bacteria
Description: partial 16S ribosomal RNA
Rfam family: Bacterial small subunit ribosomal RNA
Source: RNAcentral